This 253-nucleotide ribosomal RNA is filed under the name uncultured bacterium. RNAcentral describes it as "partial 16S ribosomal RNA". It matches the Rfam family "Bacterial small subunit ribosomal RNA", at positions 524 to 776 of the family's 1533-position model. The record is from RNAcentral.
UACAGAGGAUGCAAGCGUUAUCCGGAAUGAUUUGGCGUAAAGCGUCCGCAGGUGGUUUUGUAAGUCUGCUGUUAAAGCGUUAGGCUCAACCUAAUAAGGGCAGUGGAAACUAUGAGACUAGAGUAUGUUAGGGGUAGAGGGAAUUCCCAGUGUAGCGGUGAAAUGCGUAGAGAUUGGGAAGAACACCGGUGGCGAAAGCGCUCUGCUAGGACAAUACUGACACUGAGGGACGAAAGCUAGGGGAGCGAAUGGG